This 465-nucleotide ribosomal RNA is filed under the name Vreelandella stevensii. RNAcentral describes it as "partial 16S ribosomal RNA". It matches the Rfam family "Bacterial small subunit ribosomal RNA", at positions 338 to 795 of the family's 1533-position model. The record is from RNAcentral. Lineage: Bacteria; Pseudomonadati; Pseudomonadota; Gammaproteobacteria; Oceanospirillales; Halomonadaceae.
CCUACGGGGGGCUGCAGUGGGGAAUAUUGGACAAUGGGCGAAAGCCUGAUCCAGCCAUGCCGCGUGUGUGAAGAAGGCCUUCGGGUUGUAAAGCACUUUCAGUGGGGAAGAAAGCCUUGGGGCUAAUACCCUCGAGGAAGGACAUCACCCACAGAAGAAGCACCGGCUAACUCCGUGCCAGCAGCCGCGGUAAUACGGAGGGUGCGAGCGUUAAUCGGAAUUACUGGGCGUAAAGCGCGCGUAGGCGGUCUGAUAAGCCGGUUGUGAAAGCCCCGGGCUCAACCUGGGAACGGCAUCCGGAACUGUCAGGCUAGAGUGCGGGAGAGGAAGGUAGAAUUCCCGGUGUAGCGGUGAAAUGCGUAGAGAUCGGGAGGAAUACCAGUGGCGAAGGCAGCCUUCUGGACUGACACUGACGCUGAGGUGCGAAAGCGUGGGUAGCAAACAGGAUUAGAUACCCUAGUAGUC